Molecule: transfer RNA, 77 nt
Filed under: Escherichia coli
Lineage: Bacteria; Pseudomonadati; Pseudomonadota; Gammaproteobacteria; Enterobacterales; Enterobacteriaceae
Description: tRNA-Lys
Rfam family: tRNA
About the family: Transfer RNA (tRNA) molecules are approximately 80 nucleotides in length. Their secondary structure includes four short double-helical elements and three loops (D, anti-codon, and T loops).
Source: RNAcentral
GGGUCGUUAGGUCCAGUUGGUAGAGCAGUUGACUUUUAAUCAAUUGGUCGCAGGUUCGAAUCCUGCACGACCCACCA